UACGGAGGGUGCAAGCGUUAUCCGGAUUCACUGGGUUUAAAGGGUGCGUAGGCGGACAGGUAAGUCCGUGGUGAAAUCUCUGAGCUUAACUCAGAAACUGCCAUGGAUACUAUUUGUCUUGAAUUAGGGAGAGAUUCGUGGAAUUCCGAGUGUAGCAGUGAAAUGUGUAGAUAUUCGGAAGAACACCAGAGGCGAAGGCAGCGAAUUGGCCCUAUAUUGACGCUCAGGCACGAAAGCAUGGGGAUCAGACAGG
Molecule: ribosomal RNA, 253 nt
Filed under: uncultured bacterium
Lineage: Bacteria
Description: partial 16S ribosomal RNA
Rfam family: Bacterial small subunit ribosomal RNA
Source: RNAcentral